GAUGAACGCUGGCGGCGUGCCUAAUACAUGCAAGUCGAGCGAACAGACGAGGAGCUUGCUCCUCUGACGUUAGCGGCGGACGGGUGAGUAACACGUGGAUAACCUACCUAUAAGACUGGGAUAACUUCGGGAAACCGGAGCUAAUACCGGAUAAUAUAUUGAACCGCAUGGUUCAAUAGUGAAAGACGGUUUUGCUGUCACUUAUAGAUGGAUCCGCGCCGCAUUAGCUAGUUGGUAAGGUAACGGCUUACCAAGGCAACGAUGCGUAGCCGACCUGAGAGGGUGAUCGGCCACACUGGAACUGAGACACGGUCCAGACCCCUACGGGAGGCAGCAGUAGGGAAUCUUCCGCAAUGGGCGAAAGCCUGACGGAGCAACGCCGCGUGAGUGAUGAAGGUCUUCGGAUCGUAAAACUCUGUUAUUAGGGAAGAACAAAUGUGUAAGUAACUAUGCACGUCUUGACGGUACCUAAUCAGAAAGCCCCGGCUAACUACGUG
Molecule: ribosomal RNA, 497 nt
Filed under: uncultured bacterium
Lineage: Bacteria
Description: partial 16S ribosomal RNA
Rfam family: Bacterial small subunit ribosomal RNA
Source: RNAcentral